UUUAGGAUACCCAGAUAAGACACGGUAAUAACGCUGAUGAAAGAAGAGGGCAACUGGGAAAAUGGGCCAACCUACAACAAGUUCAAGAAGCUCAACCCCAGUGGCUUAGAUUCCCAGGAGGAGUUUGAGACUCCCUCAGCCCUCCACUAUCCCCAUGAGACAAACCAGAACAUGCUGCGCCAUGGCAGGACAUACUGUGUCCCUUUGUUCCAAAUGACCUCAACAACUCAAAUUCCCUAUCACAAAUAUAUGAAGUCGUGAAAAGAAAGGAAGAUUCAAGGGAAGAGGACAUGAUUAAUAAACCCCUACCAGGCAGAGAAGCCAGCCAAGUGUCCAAGCCAUGUGAGUUAUGUUUCCUUGACAGCUUUGGAUUAUUAUGAAAACAAUUGCCAAGACAUAAACUAAUAUUCAGAAG
This 415-nucleotide long non-coding RNA is filed under the name Mustela putorius furo (domestic ferret). Its description in RNAcentral is "lncRNA (ENSMPUG00000031040.1)". Lineage: Eukaryota; Metazoa; Chordata; Mammalia; Carnivora; Mustelidae. The record is from RNAcentral.